AUCCAGCUGACGAGUCCCAAGUAGGACGAAAUGUGCAUCCUGGAU
RNAcentral lists this non-coding RNA (45 nucleotides) under Trichobilharzia regenti. The record is from RNAcentral. Lineage: Eukaryota; Metazoa; Platyhelminthes; Trematoda; Strigeidida; Schistosomatidae.